RNAcentral lists this ribosomal RNA (469 nucleotides) under uncultured bacterium. Its description in RNAcentral is "partial 16S ribosomal RNA". It matches the Rfam family "Bacterial small subunit ribosomal RNA", at positions 28 to 507 of the family's 1533-position model. The record is from RNAcentral.
GACGAACGCUGGCGGCGUGCUUAACACAUGCAAGUCGAACGGAAAGGCCCUGCUUGCAGGGUGCUCGAGUGGCGAACGGGUGAGUAACACGUGGGUGAUCUGCCCCUUACUUUGGGAUAAGCCUGGGAAACUGGGUCUAAUACUGGAUAGGACCAUGCUGUAGGUGGUGUGGUGGAAAGAUUAGUUUCGGUAAGGGAUGAGCUCGCGGCCUAUCAGCUUGUUGGUGGGGUAAUGGCCUACCAAGGCGUCGACGGGUAGCCGGCCUGAGAGGGUGGACGGCCACAUUGGGACUGAGAGACGGCCCAGACUCCUACGGGAGGCAGCAGUGGGGAAUAUUGCACAAUGGGCGCAAGCCUGAUGCAGCGACGCCGCGUGGGGGAUGACGGCCUUCGGGUUGUAAACUCCUUGCAGCCAUGACGAAGCCCUUGUGGUGACGGUAGUGGUAGAAGAAGCACCGGCUAACUACGUG